This 279-nucleotide ribosomal RNA is filed under the name uncultured bacterium. RNAcentral describes it as "partial 16S ribosomal RNA". It matches the Rfam family "Bacterial small subunit ribosomal RNA", at positions 506 to 784 of the family's 1533-position model. The record is from RNAcentral.
UGCCAGCCGCCGCGGUAAUACGAAGGGUGCAAGCGUUAUCCGAAUUCACUGGGUUUAAAGCGUACGUAGGUGGCUAGAUAAGUCAGUGGUGAAGACUAACAGCUCUACUGUUAACGUGCCAUUGAUACUGUUUAGCUUGAGUAUAGUAGAGGUAGGCGGAAUUUUACAUGUAGCGGUGAAAUGCACAGAUAUGUAAAGGAACACCGAUAACGAAGGUAGCUUACUGGGCUAUUACUGACGCUGAGGUACGAAAGCGUGGGGAGCAAACAGGAUUAGAUA